This 76-nucleotide transfer RNA is filed under the name Lysobacteraceae bacterium. RNAcentral describes it as "tRNA-Thr". It matches the Rfam family "tRNA". From Rfam's summary of the family: Transfer RNA (tRNA) molecules are approximately 80 nucleotides in length. Their secondary structure includes four short double-helical elements and three loops (D, anti-codon, and T loops). Lineage: Bacteria; Pseudomonadati; Pseudomonadota; Gammaproteobacteria; Lysobacterales; Lysobacteraceae. RNAcentral also lists the same sequence under 1 other name. The record is from RNAcentral.
GCUCAUAUAGCUCAGUUGGUAGAGCGCAUCCUUGGUAAGGAUGAGGUCACCAGUUCGAUUCCGGUUAUGAGCACCA